Long non-coding RNA from Alosa sapidissima (American shad), 645 nucleotides. RefSeq lists it as uncharacterized. The transcript is spliced from 2 exons. The record is from RefSeq and is a predicted model, not a curated record. NCBI's taxonomy places the organism in Eukaryota, Metazoa, Chordata, Actinopteri, Clupeiformes, Clupeidae.
UCAAAUUUGUAGUUUCUUAUGUCUCAUUCCAUCGAACUACAGAUCCGCUACCCGAUCUUGCAAACUUACAUAGUGUUGUUAUAGCCGAUUGAGGGCCGUGAAGCGAAUGCAGAAGUGCCGUUCACCCUGUUACAAGUUGAUGAAGCACUGAAACGAUUUUGGAAACAUUAUUUUAAGGCCUGAUCUCAGAAAAAAACCUUGUCUCCCAGGGAAAGCAAGGUGCUGGUCCUUGCAGUUAUCUUGGUUGCCACGGCGGAGACAAAAGCAAGCUUUCUUAUGACUUCUUUAUCCUGGCGCGUGUUACUGAAGCAGGUCAUGUUCCUCAGACUACUCAAUGCAACGAAGAAAUGAGGACAGCCAUGCUUACAGACACAGGUACAAGAGACUAGACACCUCUGCCAAGUUAUGCUGGAUGAAGACACAUGAUUAGGAAGGCUCAAUACCAUCAGGUGAAGGAAGGGAAAUGUGUAUUCAGGGAAAACUAUAUCAUUAAACUGGAGAACAGAAUGUCCAUAGAAUUUUGUACUAUGUUAAAGCCGAUGUUUGGCUACAAUACAUCUGAUCAAUCUGAAAAUCUGAACACUAAACUGUACAUUAAGGCAAUGCAUACAAUCUGAUUAAAACAAUUUGAUAGCAGGGUAUAAA